Non-coding RNA from Ciona intestinalis (vase tunicate), 282 nucleotides. Lineage: Eukaryota; Metazoa; Chordata; Ascidiacea; Phlebobranchia; Cionidae. The record is from RefSeq and is a predicted model, not a curated record.
UGAACUGGUCACAGGGGAAUACCGCAUAAUAAGGAAUAGAAGCACAAAGGUUUCUACAUAUAAGAGAGCAAAGCUUUAAGGAUUCUUCACAGUACAGAAAUUUCUGAUAAAUAUUUAGAUUGGGGCAUUAUAUCGACGAUGAAGAUGACUGCUUUGAAGAUACAAGCACUUCUUCCUCGUCUUAAUGUGUGAAAGAUAAGCUUGGUUUGUUAUCACAGUACAACGAUAUGAACCUUUAUGUAGAGAGUAUAAGCAGUAAAAAUAUUGGAUCGGCAAAAUAAA